AAUAUAUUUUAUUUUAGUAAUUUAAUUUUUUAUUUCUUUUAUUUACAUGUAAACUUUUAUAUAAAUGAUUUUAAUAAUUUCUAGACAGUAAUUAUAGUUAUUUUUUAAUGAAAAUUAGAAAUAUAAAUUGAUUUUAAGCUUGACAAAUUUUGUGCCAGCAGUUGCGGUUAUACAAUUAAGCUAAUAUAAUUUUAAAAAUAAAUUAAUUAUUCUUUCAUUCAAGAUUAGAGUUAAAGAAUAAAAGGUAAAAUUUAAUUCUUUAAAAGUAAUUCAUGAUCAAUAAUUAAGAAACUAAGAAUAUAAAUCAGGAUUAGAUACCCUGUUAUUGGAAUGUAAAUUUAUUGGAGUAGUAGAAGCUAAGAUCUUGAAACUCAAAAAAUUUGGCGGUAUUUUAUCUUAUUAGAGGAACCUGUUUAUUAAUUGAUAUUCCACAACUUAAAUCUACUUUUACGAAAUUAUUUGUAUACCGCUGUCAUGAAUCUAUUUAAAAGUUUAUUUUCAAAGUUUUUUAUGUAAGUUAUGUUAGGUCAAGGUGUAGUAUGUAAAUGAUCAAAAUGGGUUACAUUAUUUAAUAUGAAUGAAUUAUUUUGCUGAGACAAAUUAUGAAAUAGGAUUUAUAAGUAAAAGAAUUAUUAAAGAUUUUGUAUGAAUAAAGAUUCUAAAAUAUGUACACAUUGCCCGUCGCUCUUGUUUAAAAUAAGAUAAGUCGUAACAUAGUAGAUGUACUGGAAAGUGCCUCUGGAAUUAU
Molecule: ribosomal RNA, 748 nt
Filed under: Cacopsylla melanoneura
Lineage: Eukaryota; Metazoa; Arthropoda; Insecta; Hemiptera; Psyllidae
Description: 12S ribosomal RNA
Source: RNAcentral